CAUAUCAUCCUUGCCCGUUAGAGUGAACAAUAUUAGCAAAGGCACCGAGAAGGAAUAAUCUUGGCCUGUUUAUCAAACGUAGACACAGGGUUUCACCGCGUGAGCCAGGAUGGUCUUGAUCUCCUGACCUCGUGAUCCACCCGCCUCGGCUUCCCAAAGUGCUAGGAUUACAGGUGUGAGCCACCGUGCCCAGCACACUCUUCAAAAACUCUUGAACAAGAUAUGAUGAGCUUCUGGAUAACGAAUGCAUCUUUGUGCAGGGAGGGUGUGUACCUUAACUCCACAAAGGAUCAAAGCUUCUACACUCAGGACCCUUCUGGACCUUGCCCUAUGCACCUCUUCAUCU
This 346-nucleotide small RNA is filed under the name Pongo abelii (Sumatran orangutan). RNAcentral's name for it is "sense overlapping". Lineage: Eukaryota; Metazoa; Chordata; Mammalia; Primates; Hominidae. The record is from RNAcentral.